Long non-coding RNA from Quercus lobata, 198 nucleotides. RefSeq lists it as uncharacterized. The record is from RefSeq and is a predicted model, not a curated record. Lineage: Eukaryota; Viridiplantae; Streptophyta; Magnoliopsida; Fagales; Fagaceae. The transcript has 2 exons.
ACUGCUAUAUUUUCACAUGGUUCUAACUCGAAGUGGCCUUUCUCUGGAGCACAAAGUUCCUGGUGAAGAUGUUACAUUAGGCGAAGCUUUGAUGGCCCCAACCGUUAUCUAUGUUAUGCAGGUACUUGACAUAAUAAGCAAGGGUGGGAUAAAGGGGAUUGCCCACAUCACAGGUGGUGGUUUCCCAGACAAUAUACC